RNAcentral lists this ribosomal RNA (407 nucleotides) under uncultured microorganism. RNAcentral describes it as "bacterial SSU rRNA". It matches the Rfam family "Bacterial small subunit ribosomal RNA", at positions 509 to 917 of the family's 1533-position model. The record is from RNAcentral.
CAGCCGCCGCGGUAAUACGUAGGGGGCGAGCGUUCCCCGGAUUCACUGGGCGUAAAGGGGGUGUAGGCGGCUCGGUAAGUCGGGUGUGAAAUCCCACGGCUCAACCGUGGAAUUGCGCCCGAAACUGCCGAGCUUGGGGCCGGUAGAGGGAGACGGAACUGCCGGUGUAGGGGUGAAAUCCGUAGAUAUCGGCAGGAACGCCGGUGGGGAAGCCGGUCUCCUGGGCCGCGCCCGACGCUGAGGCCCGAAAGCUAGGGGAGCAAACCGGAUUAGAUACCCGGGUAGUCCUAGCCGUAAACGAUGCCCACUAGGUGUGGGGGAGUAUUUCCUCCGUGCUGGAGCUAACGCGUUAAGUGGGCCGCCUGGGGAGUACGCCCGCAAGGGUGAAACUUAAAGGAAUUGGCGGG